This 235-nucleotide ribosomal RNA is filed under the name uncultured fungus. Its description in RNAcentral is "partial 18S ribosomal RNA". It matches the Rfam family "Eukaryotic small subunit ribosomal RNA", at positions 548 to 785 of the family's 1831-position model. The record is from RNAcentral. Lineage: Eukaryota; Fungi.
UUGGAGGGCAAGUCUGGUGCCAGCAGCCGCGGUAAUUCCAGCUCCAAUAGCGUAUAUUAAAGUUGUUGCAGUUAAAAAGCUCGUAGUUGAAUUUCGGGGUCAGCAGGUUGGUCGUGCCACCGGUAUGCACUGGCCUCGCUGAUUCCUCCCUCUUGUAGAACCGUAAUGCCAUUAAGUUGGUGUUGCGGGGAAACAGGACUGUUACUUUGAAAAAAUUAGAGUGUUUAAAGCAGGC